RNAcentral lists this ribosomal RNA (253 nucleotides) under uncultured bacterium. RNAcentral describes it as "partial 16S ribosomal RNA". It matches the Rfam family "Bacterial small subunit ribosomal RNA", at positions 524 to 776 of the family's 1533-position model. The record is from RNAcentral.
UACGGAGGGAGCAAGCGUUGUUCGGAAUCACUGGGCGUAGAGCGCGUGUAGGCGGCUUGGUAAGUCGGGUGUGAAAGCCCGGAGCUCAACUCCGGAACUGCAUUCGAAACUACCUCGCUCGAGUCCCGGAGAGGGUGGUGGAAUUCCCGGUGUAGAGGUGAAAUUCGUAGAUAUCGGGAGGAACACCAGUGGCGAAGGCGGCCACCUGGACGGUGACUGACGCUGAGACGCGAAAGCGUGGGGAGCUAACAGG